RNAcentral lists this ribosomal RNA (170 nucleotides) under uncultured bacterium. RNAcentral describes it as "partial 16S ribosomal RNA". It matches the Rfam family "Bacterial small subunit ribosomal RNA", at positions 338 to 524 of the family's 1533-position model. The record is from RNAcentral.
CCUACGGGAGGCAGCAGUGAGGAAUUUUCCGCAAUGGUCGCAAGACUGAACGAGCAACGCCGCGUGCAGGAAGAAGGCCUUCGGAUUGUAAACUGCUUUUACCAGGGAAGAGAAUGGACGGUACCUGGUGAAUCAGCCCCGGCUCACUACGUGCCAGCAGCCGCGGUAAU